Molecule: ribosomal RNA, 527 nt
Filed under: uncultured bacterium
Lineage: Bacteria
Description: bacterial SSU rRNA
Rfam family: Bacterial small subunit ribosomal RNA
Source: RNAcentral
AGAGUUUGAUCCUGGCUCAGAUUGAACGCUGGCGGCAUGCCUUACACAUGCAAGUCGAACGGCAGCAUGAUCUAGCUUGCUAGAUUGAUGGCGAGUGGCGAACGGGUGAGUAAUACAUCGGAACGUGCCCUGUAGUGGGGGAUAACUAGUCGAAAGAUUAGCUAAUACCGCAUACGACCUGAGGGUGAAAGUGGGGGACCGCAAGGCCUCAUGCUAUAGGAGCGGCCGAUGUCUGAUUAGCUAGUUGGUGAGGUAAAGGCUCACCAAGGCGACGAUCAGUAGCUGGUCUGAGAGGACGAUCAGCCACACUGGGACUGAGACACGGCCCAGACUCCUACGGGAGGCAGCAGUGGGGAAUUUUGGACAAUGGGCGAAAGCCUGAUCCAGCAAUGCCGCGUGUGUGAAGAAGGCCUUCGGGUUGUAAAGCACUUUUGUCCGGAAAGAAAUGGCUCUGGUUAAUACCUGGGGUCGAUGACGGUACCGGAAGAAUAAGGACCGGCUAACUACGUGCCAGCAGCCGCGGUAAU